GCCAAUCAGCGCCAAUGUCCUUCCGAUAUCUUUCCUCCAACUGAGGAAUUUCUUGUAUGUGUAAAUACUUCAAACUGGUUAGGCAAUGCAUCUGGUCCGGAAGAGAUGUUAAAUUGGGCAAAUUAACGAGAAAAAGCCGUUGCAGAUUUGUUAGAUGUUGAAGCCACUCCGGAAGAUGCCGACACUUUGGAAUAUUUUGCAGCUGUAGAAAGCGUAGGCUUGUAUGAUCUUGGAAUAUUUGGAUGCCAGCCCCAGAUAACUCCAGCUCCUUGCAGUCCAUUACUAAAAAGUCUUCAAGGGAAGUGAGAUGUUGGAACACAGGAAGCAGUGACCUCAAUCCAUUGCAGUUAUGAAUUUUUAAUGUUUGCAAUUGAACAAGAUGUUGAAGCCCAAUGGGGAGAGACACCAGCUUUGGAAUAUUAUCAAUCUCCAAAUGAGAGAGAUUCUUAAGGGGUUCCCAUUGCAUGCCCUCUAAAUCAACCUCCUUGCAAUCUCUUAUUGUUAAUCUUUUGAGGCUGGUGAGAUGUUGCAGGCACUCAUCUAGCGUGUGAGUGUCCAACCCCUCAAUGUUGUAUACAUGGAAAGAUUUCAAUUUGGAGAGUGGAAGAGAAGAGGUUGAAGUUGAUGGGGCCUUAGCAUUGAUGUUCAUUUUGAUAGUCUGCUUUAACGGCCUUGAACUGGUAUAGAACAACAUUAGACCUUCAUCGAGUGAUGGAUACAGUGGCAUUAAAAUUAAAGGGCAAUUUUGAAUGUCUAAAGAGGAAAGACUAGGAAAUGCCAUGGUUGAUGUUCCCAUAACUGUUGUGUCGUCCUCGUUGGAAUCAUCAUCGAUUGGUUUUGUCGUCCUCCACCAACUCUUCAUAUUCGGACAGUUCCAGAGCGAAAGAUGCUUCAGUGAUGGGAAGAAUGAUUGUGGUUCUCCUUGACUUCCUUUUGGGCUAUUAUCAUCCAUGUACUCCAGCUUAGUACAAUCAUCUAUAGUCAGCCCUUUAAGACAAGGAAAUUGCGCAAAGGACGGGAUUUGUUUGAAAUUACCACCACUUAUGAAAAUUUUGACGAGAUUUGUGAGCAAAGGAAGCCAACUUGGAAACUUGGCAUCACCCCUCCAUCUUUCAAUACAGAGCUCCUUGAGAUUAGGAUGGGGCUGGAGGUCUUCAAGUGACUUCUCAUCAUCAUCAUCAUCAUCAUCAUCUUCAUCAUCAGAAUCAUAUUUCCAUUGUAAACCCAACCAUCUCAAAUGUUGCUUCUCGUUCAAAUUAGCAGCCUUAAACUUCUCUUUUGCAUUUUUUACGAAUCCCAAAUUUGUUAUUCCUAACCCUCCCCUUAAGUUGUUAAGCAGUCUCAAUUCACUUAGAUCUGCACCGCCAUGGGACCCAUCUUUAUCCACUACAAACAUGCUUAACGUCUCAAGUGAAGUCAGCUUCCCUAUUCCACGUGGCAUAUGAGUUAAACCCCUACAACCUUCACACCCAAGAUGGGUAAGAUUCACCAAUUUUUCAAUCUUCUUUGGCAAUUCUUUAAGCCUAUGACAGCUGUCAAGUUUCAGCGCUAGCAAAUUCAGAAUCUUGCAAAUACUCUCUGGGAGAAUCUUAAUAUUGAAAUUCCAAGAAAGAUCAAGGUACCUCAAAUGUUUCAACUUACAAAUGGAGGGUGAAAUCUUUUGAAUACCUAUAGAAUUCAAUUUCAAUACACGCAAGCAUCUACAAUUUGCAAUUAUCAAAUCCCAAGUUUCAUAGCUGAAAUCUUGACUUAUUUUGUCUUGAAAAUGUAACAAGGUUCGCAACUUCUUUCCCUUAAACAAAGGAAUUAAUGAAGGUUUAAUUGAUAUGUGUCGCCAUUUUUCACCAACAUCACUUGCAAUUUUAUUUGAAUCUACAAUACUACUCUCCAUCCCUGCUACUGAUUCUGCUAGAUCAUGCAUUAAAUCAUGCAUUUUACAUGUUAGCCCUUCCCUUGAAUAUCUUUCUCCUACUUCUUGGAAGAAACUUAUUUCAACUAAAUCUUUAAAAUACCCAAACCCGAUCUCCUCCAGAGAUUGACUUUGAUUCAAUUGCUUUUGAAACCCUGUGCAAUCCAAAAUUGAACAAGCUCUUCUACUUCAAUUCUGUAAUCUUUUGGAUACAAUCGGCAAUAAGCAAAGCAAUGCUUCAAAUGAGACGGUAGAUGAUCAUAACUCAAUUUCAGUAUAGGUAGAAGUUCUCCUUCAAUUUGUGAUAUUUUAGCAAGUUCAUUUUCUUUGAAAGAAUGCCACUCAUUUGCAGUUUUCUUCAAAGAUAAUGUACCAGCUAUCGUCCUUAUGGCUAAGGGAACCCCACCACACCUUUCCGAAAUCUGUUUCCCUACUUCCACAAAGGCUGAAUUUGUUGAGUCUGCAUAUCCUUGUUCAAAUGCUAUCUUUUUGAACAAAGACCAAGCAUCAUCAUCAGACAAGCCUUUCAAUUUCAAAACAUGGGAUUGACAUUUAUUAGUUAUCUCCGCUACCCUUAGAGAUCGAGUAGUUACUAUUAUCCUACUCCCUUUAGCCCCACCCAUCAAUAACUUCUUUAGCCUAGACCACUUUUCUGGGUCCUGAUUCCAAAUGUCAUCCAAAACAAGCAAAUAUUUUUUCCCAUCAAUUUUAUCUCGAAGUUGUUUUUGCAAUUGAUCCAUUUCAAGAUUUUGAUCAGGUGCUUGAUGAGUCACAGAUUUGAUAAUGUUUGCUACAAUAACUUUCACAUCAAAAUCAUCUGAAACACACGCAAACAUCGUUAAGUCGAAAUGAUUUUUGACCAUUUCAUGGUUAUAGACAAGUUGGGCCAAAGCAGUCUUCCCUAACCCUCCAAACCCCACAAUUGGAAUGACAUAAACAUUCUCUUCACUUUGAAACUCCAACACGAGUUUUAGAAGAGCUGCUUUAUCAUCAUCCCUCCCUAUUAUGUCAUCUUCACGCUCAAAAGAGUGCGUUUGCUGCCUCCUUUUAGUCAUGAAAGAGGUUUCCGCGGGGCGAUCACGCGGAAUGAAGCCAAAAGUGUUGGCCUCCCUUUCAAUUGAAGCUAAUCUCGCCUUAAUGGCCUUCAUUUCCCGACCCAUUUUGAGACCAUAAGCAAAUUGGUUUGAGGUUAAGAAGAAAAGGCGUACCUCUUUCGUCAGCUUGUUCCCACCCGAUACAUCUUUCCGCAAAGCUUCAGUAGAGAAAUCAUCCAGCAAGUCGUUGGCAUCAUAAAGUACAUCUUUCAGCUCUUCAAGCCAAACUUUGACGAGAUUGUCGGUCACCGAUUUCUCUUCAGCGUCAAGAAGCACAGCUUUGAUUUGACAGACAGUGCGUCUGAGAUCGUGGAUGUCAUGUUUGAGAUUCCACCACAGCCCAACUUGAGAGAGAGCACGAGAGCUCAACUUAAUAAUGAGCUCUGCGGCAAUGACGGAAGCAAUUGCUUCGGCCAUUGUUGGUUCAAACUGAAAUCAAGGCAAAAAGUGUUUGAUUGGUGAAAGAGGAGAACUAAAAUGAGAAUGAUUCCAACAAGAUGAAGCACAGAUGUGGAUCCAUCCACCCAGCAAGUAGUAUAAUUAAAUAAAAAGUCAUGUUGAUUGGUGGGAAAUGGUCCCUCCAUGUUUACUGUUUGACACAAAUUUCUGUAAUGCUCUGCACAAUGUGGAGCCGUAGAAAUAAUUGAAAUUAAUGAAAAGGCUACGAAAGAAAAGAGAAAAAGGAGACAAAUCCCAUGGAAUCCAAGGUGUUUUGAUUGAAGUCUUUCUAAACCUUCUUCCCACUUACUUUGUGUAAUUGCGCGAGUUUAACUUAAAUUCAAUAUUUUAUUUUUGAGUUUAACUUUGGUUGAAUAUAUAAAAUAAAAAAUUCAAUAAAACUCAUUCACCAUUAGAAUCAAAUUUUAUUAAAUUCGAAUCCGAUUAAAUCAAUAAUUUAAAUAUAACUUAAUGACUACUAAAUCAAAUUUAAAUUUUUUUUUAAUCGAAUUCAAUUAACUUACAAGUGAUUAUCAUGUUCACAUUUCUCACCUACCUACUUAGCUUUGAUUUUGUCUUUUAAAGUAACUUGGUGUCUAUAAUUAUAUAUUACGACAAUAGUUACUGUUCAUUACUAUUUUAGUAUACCCUUAUUAUUAAAUCUUUUUAUAUUAAUGGGUAUGUUAAUUAUAUUUGCUAUUAAUUUUAAUUCUGAUUCAACUGUACAUAUGUAAAAAAAAUGCAUACAUAUAUUUUUUUACAUUGGAUUAAUAUAAUUGCUUGUCUAUGUAAUAUAUCAAAGUAAAAUGUAAGAGGUUGAUUUAGCAUAUCCCAAAACAUUUUGUUAUAGCUUGGAUGGUCAUUCUUGACAAGUUGCGCUAUCACCUGCGAAGCCUAGUAGAGACUCCUAAAAUGAUAAAUUUUUAAUUUAGACAUUUUAUAAUUUAUAAAAUUUUAAAUUAAUAGUGAUAAAAUUAUAAUUUGAUCAUCUAAAAAAAUUAUAAAAAUUUAAUUUAACUCUUUAAAAAUUAUAAAAAUACAUUACUAUAAAAAUAUAUAAUUUAAUUCCGAGUAAAAAAAAUUUUAGCUCGGCUACUAUUGCCAACAAAAGAAAAAUUAAUUUCGUUUUUGAACAUGUGGAAAGAUAUUGGGUUUAUGUCAGCUCCAUGGGAAUGUGUAUUUAAUUGGUAUUGAAGGAAAAAUCAUUACUUAAUACCAUCAUGAAGAUUGCUUCCACUGCUCAUAUCUAUUUUAUUAUUUUAAUACACAUAUAAUUGUUUUAUUGUGAGUUGAAUGAUUUUGGUUUGUUUAUUUAAGAUAUUUUAUUUUUAAAUAUAUUUUUAAUCAUUUAUUUUACAUAUACAUGUAUUUUAACUUAAUAUAUUUAAUACUGUUUUUUUAUAAAAAAAAACCCAAAGGUCACUAUCUCAUUUUAAGUUGCAUCAUAAAUUACAACGUUAUGAAUAUCGAUCGUUAGGAUAAUUCAUCUCAAAAGACAAAUUACUACACUUAGAAAGAGCCCAAUUACAAAGAGAAUCGGCUAAUUUGUUAUAACCACGUUUCACCCAUUUGACCUCGAAAGAAACAAAAGAAUUAAGCAUUUUGUGAGCUCCUUGAUGCAGUGAUCAACGAUCGUUAUGUCCUCCUUGUGAAAACUAAAGCGGUUGACAAUGCUAGCACAAUCUGUUUCAAAAAUGACAUUAUUGGCUUUAAGAAAUUGAGCAAGCCGCCAAAAACCAUCGAUGAGGGCAUCUAAUUCCGCUUUAAUAGUGAUUUUUUAUUCUCAUUUUAUCGAUAUAUUUACAUUUGAAUUCAAAUACAUAUUCUACAAUUAACUUUAAUCUCACUGUUACAAUACUUAACCUCACUAAAUUACUUGUUUAACAUGAUUAUCGUGAAUUUAUAGAAAGAACAAUCACGAAGCAAAUGUAGAUGCACUUAUGUUUAAAGUGUUUAUUAAUUAUUUUGAAAAAUAAAAGUAUAAUAACUUUUUUGGCAUUCCAACUUUAUAAAAGAAUUAUUUUAGCUCUCUAUUUACUUUCAUUUUCUUUUAGUCUUUGAACUUAUAUUUUUUUGUCAAACCAUCCAAAAUGGGUUAAAAAGUAUUUAAUUAUUUUUAUCUACUUAAAAUAAUUUUAAAAAAAUCUAUGAAAAAAACUUUGAAAAUUUGUCAAAUGAUAUUUAAAAGCCGUAAAAUAAAGUUUAUUUUAUUAAAAUAAUUAUAAAAAUUUAUAAUAAAAAAUCGUACUAAACUAAAUUAUAAUGGAUGGAUAAAAAAAUAUAAUCGAAUUAAACUAAUAUCACUUGAUUUUAUUGCACCAAACUGGACAUAAAAGAUUUUCUUAUACUAAAUUAUUAACUUUGCUGAUGUGGCUUCCACAUGGAAGCCAAUGUGUAUGCUACAUUAGCAAUUGAUUAAUUUUUUUAAAAAAAUUUAAAAUAGUUUUUAAUAAUUUUUAUACUUUUUAAAACUUUUAAUAAGUUGUAUACUUUUUUUAAAUUUUUAUAUUUAGAACAUUAGUUAAUUGCUAAUGUGGCAUCCAUGUGUAUGCCAUGCAAGUUUAAGGACUAAAUUGAUUUUUUCAUAAAGUUAGAAGGUUAAAUAAAUCAUUAUGCCAAAAUAUAAUAGAGAAUUUUAAAAAAUGAAAAUAUUUAUAUUUUAUUUUAUAUUUGUUUAGGUUCAGCCUGGUCCAAAAUAUAAACUUAAAGUCUGUUCAAAUUUGUAAACAGUUAACUUAAACUCAUUUUAAAUCCACUCAUACUAUUUUUAAAAAAAUUUAAAUGAAUUUAUAUUAUUUUUAACUUAAUAUUUAAUAUUUUUACAUUUUUAUUAAAAUUUUAUAUAUAGUCAUCUUAAGAUUAUAAUAGUAUUAUAAUUUUUAUUUUUAUUUGUUACAAAUUACAUAACAUAUAAAAUUAACAUAAUAUAAAAUAUUGCAAACUUAAAAAUUGGGUCGGGCCAAACUUAGGCUUUAAAUAUUCAAAUUCAAGCUCGACUCAUUUUUUAAAUGGGACUAUUUUUUGAAUUUAAUAGUUUUACCUAAAUCCUCUAAAAUUUCAAAUGAACCUCUGAGCUUGACAAAGAACAGUAAGUCUCUUUCCCUUUUCUUUCCCUAUUGUUUUGGAGAAACAAUACAGUAAGAUCAGCUGAUGAAGAAUGCAUACAGAUCGACUCUUCAACAAAGAAAAAGAAAGAACAAAUGUGCAUAGAGAGGAGGAUUUAGGGGAGCACAAUGUUGUUCCAAUAGGGUCGGAAGCGUGUAAAUUAUUGUACUAAAAAAUCACACAAAGUUCAAUUCCCAGGGAAGAGAGGUGGAUCACAUGGAUCUCUUAAAUACCAAGUCUUUCCUUAGUCAGAAUAUCCAUUCUAUAGUAAUUUAAUAGCACAAUUAAAUACUACUAUUAUACCCUCAAAUAUUGAAAGAAAAAUAGGACAAGAAAGAACACAAGAGUUUUAACGAGGUUCGGUAAAUUAUACCUACGUCCUCGGGCACUAACACCAGAUGAUAACUUUACUAUCUUCAAAAUAUUACAAACAAAUAGAAUUCCUUAAGAAUUCUCAAAUGGGAGAAGAGAGAAAACUAAGAGAGAAAGAUUGGUUGGGAUUGUUGAAAUGAAAAAUGAAAAGGCCUAUUUAUAGUUGAAGUUCAGGGACUAACUUGCAAAUGGCCUAAAAAAUUAGGGACCAAAAUUGCAAUUAUCCUAUUCAACUUUUCAACAUUCGGUGCAACUUGCUCAACCUUUUUAACAAGUUGCUUCCUACCUUUGUUGACCUUUCAACAAUCUCCACCUUGAAGAUUUGAUUAGGAUAAUCACAUCUUCACACACUUCCUUCAACUCCCCAAAUUCGAUAAAGUUAUCUUUUGUAGUGCCUCUAAAUGCGCUCUCGAGCGCCAUACACCUGUAGGUGCUCAAAUUCUCAGGAUGUUAAUCAAGUUCAAACAAUGAUUAAACUUGAUUGUUGUUACCACUUUGGUCAUCAUAUCUGCGGGAUUAUCUGCUGUCGGAAUCUUCUGAAGUAGAAUUUUUCCUUUUUCAAAGACUUCCCGCACAAAGUGAUAUCUUACGUCGAUAUGCUUGGUUCUUGAAUGAUAGACUUGAUUUUUCGCUAAAUGAAUAGCACUCUGACUGUCACAAUAUAGACUAAUGUGACUUUGAACAACUCCCAAGUCUUUCAAUAAUCCAUUAAGCCAAAUAGCCUCCUUAACAGCUUCUGUAACUGCCAUAUAUUCUGCCUCUGUAGUAGACACAGCUACUGUAGACUGUAAGGUAGACUUCCAACUCACUGGGGCUUUCGCAAGAGUAAACAGAUACCCCGUAGUUGAACGACGUUUAUCUAAAUCACCAGCAAAGUCGGAAUCAACAUAUCCAACUACAAACUGACCAAGUGCUUCAUCCUGUUCAAAAAUUAAACCAACAUCUACGGUUUUUCGAAGAUACCGUAGAAUCCAUUUCACAGCUUGCCAAUGUCCUUUUCCAGGAUCAUGCAUAUACCUGCUCACAACUCCAACAGCUUGUGAAAUGUCAGGCCUCGUACACACCAUCGCAUACAUCAAACUCCCAACUGCAUUAGCAUAUGGGACUUUCGCCAUAUAUUCUCUUUCAUCUUCAGUCUUCGGAGAUAAUUGAGCACUAAGUUUCAAAUGAGAAGCAAGUGGGGUACUUACAUGUUUUGUGUUUUCAUUUACACCAAAACAUUGUAAUACCUUUUUCAGAUAUUACUUCUGAUUUAAACAGAGUUUGCCUCUCGGUCUAUCUCUACUUAUCUCCAUGCCGAGAGUCUUCUUGGCCUCACCUAGAUCUUUCAUCUCGAACUCUUGAUUCAACUGAGCCUUCAGCUUAUCUAUCUCAUUUUGGCUCUUCGAAGCGAUUAACAUAUCAUCAACAUACAAGAGUAGAGAAAUGAAAGAUCCAUCAUGCAGCUUCUGUAAAUAUACACAAUUGUCAUAUUUGCUUCUUGUGUACUUCUGCCUUCUCAUAAAGCUAUCAAAUCGCUUGUACCACUACCUCGGGGAUUGCUUCAAUCCAUAUAGCGAUUUGUUCAGCUUACAAACCCAAUUUCUACCACCAGCAUCUGUGUAUCCUUCGGGCUGAGUCAUAUAGAUCUCCUCUUCUAACUCACCAUGCAAGAAAGCCGUCUUAACAUCAAGUUGAGCUAGCUCCAAAUUCAACUGUGCUACCAAGGCCAACAAAAUUCUAAUGGAGGAAUGCUUCACAACAGGGGAAAAUACAUCAUUGUAGUCAAUUCCCUCCUUCUGAGCGUAGCCUUUAGCUACCAAUCUUGCCUUGUAGCGAAUAUCCUUCUUGCUAGGAGAUCCAUCUUUCUUUGCGAAUACCCACUUGCAUCCGAUUGCCCUUUUACCUUUCGGUAAUUGCGCCAAUUCCCAAGUAUUAUUCUUCAAGAGAGACUGCAUUUCUUCAUCCAUGGCACUUUUCCAUUUAUCACUUUCUAAGCUUUGUAUUGCUUCUUGAUAAGUGAUAGGAAUAUCAUCAACAACGGGAAGGGCGUAGGCCACCAUAUCAGUAAAUCGAGCAGGUUUACGAAUUUCUCUCCAUGGCCUUGCAACUGCAACUGGUUCUGGUGUACUUAGUGGUUCUUGGGUCAGAACCUCUUCAACCUCUAAUUCCUCCAUUGUGGCUGGAGAAUUAGACUUAUUAACUGGGCAAAUCCCCAUCUGCUCAAACUCCACCUGUUUUGGAGUACACUCCACCUGUUGUAGAGUAUUGCUCGUCUGAAUAUCUUUAUCUGCUACCUUUUUCAAUGUGGCAGAUUCAUCAAAGGUAACAUCUCUGCUACAGAUCAUUUUCUUUGUGCUUAAGCACCAAAGACGAAAUCCCUUCACUCCAUAAGUGAUUCCCAUAAAGAGAGCUUUCUUUGCCCUCGGAUCUAACUUUGACUCCUUCACAUGGUAAUAUGCAGUGGAUCCAAACACAUGUAAGGAAUCAUAAUCUGUAGCCGGUUUUCCAGACCAUACCUCCAUAGGAGUUUUUAUUUCUAAUGCAGAUGAUGGCAAACGAUUAACAAGAUGGCCAGCGUAUGUCACAGCCUCAGCCCAAAAUUGCUUGCCCAACCCAGCAUUGGACAACAUACAUCACACUUUCUCAAGCAAUGUUCGAUUCAUACGCUCUGCCAAUCCAUUCUGCUGUGGUGUAUCCCUAACUGUGAAGUGUCGAACAAUACCAUACUCUUGGCACACAUCGAAGAACGGAUCACUUUUAUAUUCCCCUCCAUUGUCCGUCCUAAGCCGCUUGAUUUUCUUGCCAGUCUGGUUUUCGAUCAUAGUUUUCCAUUUAAGAAAAACUUUAAGCACUUCAUCCUUAGUUCUCAUGGUAUACACCCAAACUCUUCUGGAAAAGUCAUCAACAAAAGUAACAAAGUAGUGUUUUCCUCCCAAUAAAGGUGUCUUGGAAGGCCCCCACACAUCUGAGUGAACAUUUUCCAAAAUACCUUUUGUAUUAUGGAUAGCAGUACCGAAUUUCACUCUCUUUUGCUUUCCCAGAACACAAUGCUCGCAAAAUUUUAAUUUGUAAGCCUUUGCACCUUUCAACAAUCCUUGCUUUGCCAGAAUUUGUAAGGAUUUUUCGCUGGCAUGUCCCAACUUCAUAUGCCACAACUGCAUUGAGUCCAAUUCUUUGUUACCGGAAGCUGUAGCGACUGCUCCAAUAACUGUACUACCUUGGUAGUAAUACAAGUUAUUUUUCCUGAUGCCCUUCAAUAUCACAAGUGCGCCAGAUGUCACUUUCAAAAUCCCAUCUCUCAUAGUAACAACUGAACCAUUGGAUUCCAAGGCUCCCAAUGAGAUGAGAUUUUUCUUCAAACUGGGCACGUACCGAACAUCAGUCAGAACUCUGGUUGAUCCAUCUUGAUUCUUUAAUUGGAUUGAACCUAUCCCAACAGUUUUACAGGCAUUGUCAUUGCCCAUAUAAACAACUCCUCCAUUUAGUUCUACUAAAUCAAAGAACCACUCCCGGUUAGGGGACAUAUGAUAGGUACAACCCGAAUCCAAUAUCCACUCAUCUGAAUGGAACGACGAUGAUGAUGCAACCAGUGAUAGUUCAGAGUCACUAGUAUCAUGCUUUGCAACACAAGCAUCUACAACAGCUUUUCCCUUAUUCUUCAGCUUUGGACAAUUUUUCUUCCAGUGGCCUUUCUCAUGACAAAAAGCACAUUCAUCUUUCCUGAGUCUGGACUUUGACUUUGAUCUCCCCUUUUGAGUUUUCUUCCGAGUGUAUGAACGACCUCGGACUACUAAAGCUUCUGUAUCUCUGAUUGAGUUUUUCUGUUUGUCCUUCUUUCUCUGUUCAUAAUUGUAUAAGGCCCCAUGAAGUAGAGUAGUUUCUAGGAACUCAAACUCCUCAGGAAGUGACCCCAACAGCAUCAAAGCCAAAUCUUCAUCUUUGAAUGUCUCAUCCAUAUUCAGCAAAUCAGUGACUAACUGAUUAAAUUUGGUGAUGUGAUCAUUCAUUGUGGUACUUGGGACGUAUGUGAAGUGAAACAGUCUUUUCUUCAAGUGGAGCUUAUUUUGACUGUUUUUCUUCAAAAAUUUUUCUUCAAGUGCCACCCACAACUUAUUUGCAGAAGUCUCCUUUGAAAAAGCAUACCUCUGCUCUCGAGAAAGGCAUGAUCGAAUUGUGCCACAUGCCAACCGAUUGAUCGCCUUCCAAUCUUUCUCCUGUACAUCAUCUGGUUUCUCUUCAUCAAUGGCAAUGUCUAGACCCUGCUGAAAAAGGGCAUCUAGAACCUCACUUUGCCACAUACCAAAAUGGCCUGUGCCAUCAAAGAUCUCCACGGCCAGUCUUGCAUUUGCAAUUGUCGGUCUUGUCCACAUGGACGAUGUUGAAGCUCCUACACCGACCGUUUUCUCCAUAAUCUUUCAAUAUACCUAAGGAAAUCUUUUCUGAUGUGGAAGAUCAGUUUAAACUGCAACCACAGAGCAUACUACGAUUAACCUUCGGCUCUUGAUACCACUUUUUGUUCCAAUAGGGUCGGAAGCGUGUAAAUUAUUGUACUAAAAAAUCACACAAAGUUCAAUUCCCAGGGAAGAGAGGUGGAUCACAUGGAUCUCUUAAAUACCAAGUCUUUCCUUAGUCAGAAUAUCCCUUCUAUAGUAAUUUAAUAGCACAAUUAAAUACUACUAUUAUACCCUCAAAUAUUGAAAGAAAAAUAGGACAAGAAAGAACACAAGAGUUUUAACGAGGUUCGAUAAAUUAUACCUACGUCCUCGGGCACUAACACUAGAUGAUAACUUUACUAUCUUCAAAAUAUUACAAACAAAUAGAAUUCCUUAAGAAUUCUCAAAUGGGAGAAGAGAGAAAACUAAGAGAGAAAGAUUGGUUGGGAUUGUUGAAAUGAAAAAUGAAAAGGCCUAUUUAUAGUUGAAGUUCAGGGACUAACUUGCAAAUGGCCUAAAAAAUUAGGGACCAAAAUUACAAUUAUCCCAUUCAACUUUUCAACAUUCGGUGCAACUUGCUCAACCUUUUUAACAAGUUGCUUCCUACCUUUGUUGACCUUUCAACACACAAUACCAUGGACAGAUCAGCUGAUGAAGAAUGCAUGUCCUGCUUUUUGGCUCUUCCAUUGAACUCAUGCUGAAAAGGAAGCAGCUUAGUUACGAGGUUAUAUUAGAUCAUUUGAAAUUAUGAGAUUACUAUGAUUUUAAAAAUGUAAAGCAAUUAAGUAAUUACCACCUAUUUGCCUGCAUCUAAAUUCUUAAAGUUGUCAAAUGCCUUUCAGAAAAAUACACGCCAAUCGAAUAUGUGGGCAGAUAAACAUAUGAGGGUAGAAAGUAUGGUCUCUGCUUUUUGUAUUGCAUGCUAUGCUCUGCAGAAGAAUAGAGCCAAAAGCUAACAAAAAUAAGGGUAAAAAGAUCAAAAAUUUCAAGAUAAAACAUAAAAUUGUAUAUACAUAUGAUUAAGAUUUAAAAUUGGAAAAUGAACAAAGCAGAGCAUGAAGUAGAAGCAUAUUGAAGGCUGGCAUGCAAGCAUUUUGGAAAAUGUCCAUUGGGUACCAAUAAAGAUUUUUUAGAAUUAAAGUAUUAGAAGCUAUGAAAUUAUUGUAAUCACUGAAUUUUGUCCGGUCUGUAGUUCGUGUUUUGUUUUAUUUUAUUUCAUUUUAUAUAUAUGUUUUUAUUUCAUUUGGGCUACAAUUAGACUCUUAAUAUCACUUACCUCUAUAUAUAAUUUAGUUUUUCACCAAAUGGAUGUUAAAAUUGUAUUUUUAAAUGGUGAAUUAGAUGAGGAAGUGUACAUGGAGUAACCGGAAGGAUUUAUUGUUCCAGGACAAGAGCAUAAGGUAUGUAAGCUUGUUAAAUCUUUAUAUGGGCUUAAACGAGCACCAAAACAAUGGCACCAAAAGUUUGACAAGGUUGUUUUAGCUAAUAGCUAUAAAAUAAAUGAAUCUGAUAAGUGCAUAUAUAGCAAAUUUGAAAAUGGAAAAGGUGUCAUAAUUUGCUUAUAUGUAGAUGACAUGCUCAUUUUUUGCACGGAUUUGGAAUAAAUAGAAAACACAAAGAAAUUCUUGUCAAACAACUUUGCUAUGAAGGAUAUGAGUGUAGCAGAUGUUAUUCUUGGGAUUAAAAUAACCCGAGAUGAAAGCACUAUAGCUUUAUCACAAUCACAUUACAUUGAAAAUGUGCUUAAAAAGUUUGAUCUUUUCAACUGUAUACCAGCAUCUACACCCAUGGAUCCUCAAAUAAAAUUAGUAUCUAAUGCUAGUAGGAAAAUUGAUCAAUUGAAAUAUGCAAGUCUAAUUGGUUGUCUUAUGUACAUAAUGACUUGUACAAGACCAGAUAUUUCAUAUGUUGUUGGAAAAUUGAAUAGGUACACAAGUAAUCCAAGUAGUUUGCAUUGGCAAGCUUUGAAUAGAGUACUUAAGUACUUAAAGAAAACUAUUAACUAUGGAUUGUGUUAUAACAGAUAUCCUCCAGUUUUAGAAGGUUAUUCGGAUGCUAGUUAGAUUACAAGUUUGGAAGAUCAUGCAUUUACUAGUGGAUGGAUCUUCAUUCUUGGUAGAUAAGCCAUUUCUUGGGGUUCCAAGAAACAAACAUGUAUUACUAAUUCCACCAUGGCAGCAGAAUUUAUUGCAUUAGCUGCUGCAUUUAAAGAGGCAGAAUGGUUAAGAAAUUUUCUUUAUGAUGUACCUUUAUGGCCUUAGCCAAUUUCACCUAUUUCUAUCCGUUGUGAUAGUGAGGCUACUCUAGCAAAGGCAUAUAGCCAAGUAUAUAAUGGAAAGUCUAGACACAUUGGAUUAAGACAUAGUUAUGUCCGAUAAUUAAUCUCUGAUGGAGUGAUCACUAUUAAUUAUGUGAGGUCAAGUGAAAAUUUGGCAGAUCCUUUGACAAAAAGUCUUGCUAGAGAUAUAAUAAAAAGGACCUCAAAAGGGAUGGAACUCAAGCCCAUUAAUUAGAGUCACCCAUGAUGGAAACUCAAAUCAAUGCUUGGUAUAACGUCAAGUCUUGAGUUCAAUGAGACAAAGUACAUCAUUAGUAUGUGACUGUUAGCACUAUAAAUAAAUCCAUCCUAAGAUUAAAGUGCUAGGUAUCCGUAAUGAUAAGGAAAGGAUGAAUAAUGUACUCUUAACGGACCCAUAACAGAAAUAUGUUAGAGUGUUAUAAUUACGGGAACACUCUUAAUGGGAUCUACCUAUGUGAGUGGAAGUGCGGCCGCUUCUAGGAGCUCAAGGGUUUGACUCUGACAGCACUCAUGAAAAGAGGACACAGACAUAUGGCCAUAAUAGUGUCUUUAGAUAUUAUGCAUUGGCCGAUGUUGAAAUCAUUGUACGAGAUGUGUUCAGUUAAUCAAAUGGAAUAGUUGGUUCAAAGCUUUGUCUACCGUGCAUUUUUUAUUAACUUUAACAUAUAUUCACUAAGUGAAGGUUCAAUCGUAAGAUAUCUUCAUUUAUGCAAAUUGAUUUCCAAGAAUAUCAAAAUCUAAAAUAUUUUGAAAAUGGGGGGGAGAUUGUUGGAACAUUUUCAAAUAUUUAUAGUGUUUCAAUAACUAUAAAUGAAUGGGUGUAAUUAAUCAAAAGAUUAUAUUAUUUGAUUUUUUGAAAAGGAGUUAUAACUAUUUAAAUAAUAUUAUUUGAAUAGUUAUAAAUGAAUAAUUAUGUGUUUAUUUUUAAGACAUUAUUAUUCAGAAAGACACCUAUUAAUGAAAGAUGUCUCUAUGAAGAGACAUGAAAAUUCCUAUAAAUAGGAAUGGGAUUUCAUUUGGAAAACAUACCAAAAAAUUUCAAAUAUUCUUUCUUUCCUUCAUUCAUUUUCUAAUAUUAUUAGAUUAUUCUAUAAAGUAUUACUGCAGAAAUUCUUUGUAGAAAUUGAGUUUUUGAUAUACAUUGCUUAGUGCGUAGUGGACUAUUCUCGUCAGUGCAAAACGCAAAUAGUCAUUGGCUUCAUUGCAUCCUCGAGGUUAAUUUGCUUGGAACUCAUUUGCACAUCGAAGAUAGGUGGGGGCGAAUAUAACCUUAAAGAUAGUGGCUUAAUACACACCUUGGAGCAUUGUCCUUUUUCUUCUUUUUUUGUUCGAGUUCUGUUCGUGUGUUCGAGAUUUUUCUCACCGGAGUUUUGUACUAACAAUAUUUACAUUGAAUUCAAAUACAUAUUCUACAAUUAACUUUAAUCUCACUGUUACAAUACUUAACCUCACUAAAUUACUUGUUUAACAUGAUUAUCGUGAAUUUAUAGAAAGAAAAAUCACGAAGCAAAUGCAGAUGCACUUAUGUUUAAAGUGUUUUUAAUUGAACUUUUAUUAUUUUGAAAAAUAAAAGUAUAAUAACUUUUUUUGCAUUCCAACUUUAUAAAAGAAUUAUUUUAGCUCUUUAUUUAUUUCCCUUCUCUUUUAGUCUUUGAACUUACAUUUUUUUGUCAAACCAUCCAAAAUGGGUGAAAAAGUUAACGUUUGUUAACUUUGUUGACAUGACAUAUAGGUGGAUUACCACGAGUAUGUCACGUUAGCAAUUAAUUAUUUUUAAAAAAUUAAAAAAUAUUUUCUUAUUAUUUUUUAAUUUUUUUAAUUUUUUUAAUGUUUAAAAUAUUUUUUAAAUGUUUUAAAAUUUUAAAAAAUAAUUAAUUGCUUAUGUGGCAUAUACAUGGAAAUCCGCGUGUAUGUCACAUCAGUAAAAUCAACAGACGUUAAAUUUUCACUCAUUUUGGAGUGAUUUAACAAAAAUUACAAGUUUAAGAACUAAAAGAAACGAAAAAUUAAAUGAUAAGUUGAAAUAACUUUUUCCGUAAACUUGGAGACCAAAAGAAUCAUUAUGGCAAAAAAUAGUUGUUUUUCUUCUCUUUUCUUCUUUUCUUUUUGGUAUCUUUUAGUGCUAAAAUUCAAGAUGGUGUGGAAUAGUUUCUAAUCUUAUUAUUGUUAUAUAUGUUUUCGAUCUCAUUAGAGCUAUAAUCUCAUUGUCUAUAUAAAGAGAGCCUAAAUAUAAUUUGUUCAGCUUCUAUUAAACAUGUUAGUGCUCCUUUGUACGAUCAUUUUCCUCCCGUGAGUAGGGUUGAGUAAAUAAAAUAAAAUAAUUGAAAAUCGAUCCAAAUCAAGGUGUUUAGACGGUUUAUGGAAUACAAAUUAAAAAAUCACAAUUAUCCGAAACCGAACAAAAUUCUAUUCUUUAUUUAACUUAUAAAUAAUUUUUUAUAACAUAAAAAAUCUUUUAUAUUGAAAAAUAGUGAAAAUAAAUAAAUAUAUAUAUAUAUUUUAAAAAUAUUAUAUAAAAUUAUUUGAUUAUUUUUAUUUACUUAAAAAAUUUUAAAAAAUAUCUAUGAAAAUAACUUUGAAAAUUUGUCUAAUGAUAAUUAAAAGCCGUAAAAUAAAGUUUAUUUUAUUAAAAUAAUUAUAAAAAUUUAUAAUAAAAAAUCGAACUAAACUAAAUUAUAAUGGAUGGAUAAAAAAAUGCAAUUGAAUUAAACUAAUAUCACUUAAUUUUAUUGCACCAAACUGCACAUAAAAGAUUUUCUUAAAAAAUUUAACCUGCAAUGACACUGUUUUUCUCACUAAAACCUUCUAGAGCGUGCAAUGUCCUCGCCAAGUAAGUAAAUUCAAUAGAGGUUGGAGGCUAAAGGUUGAUACAUAAAAGAAGGGGAGGGGCACAGUUCUGCUUCAACCAAAACCCCAAAUUUAGCAUCUUGAGUUGUUAAAAUAAGUAAAUUCACCAUACUUUUCCGUUAGAUUUUGGCUCUCUUCUUCAGCAGAAUGUGGCGUACAGUACAAGAAGCAGGGACCAUCCUUUCUACCAUGAUUUGAUUAUCUGCCCACAUAUUCCAACAAAACGAAUAUGGUAAUAAAUGUCAUCAAUUUCCUUCUAAUUUCCAAUUGAUCUGAUAGAAAUGGUGUAAUUCAAGAGUACUUGUAUAAUAUAUAUGCCCAACUGAGUACUAGAUGGAAUCUAUGCUGUUGACGGACUCUUGGAGGCAUGUUCGAGAGAGCUUAAACACAUUUAUAUUUUUCAGUGUUCCAUACAAUAUUCUAAUGAGUGUCGAAUUCAUUAAAAUGAUGUAAAAAAUAAUAUAAGGAGUAGGGUCAAUCCACAGAAAUUGAGAUAUCAACAUUUGUUGUUUGCUUCAACCAAGUUGCACGUCUAGAUUCUUAUCCUGCCCACGAGGUGUGACUGUCUGUGCAAAAAUAAAAAGAAAAAUUCUAAUGUAAUAAAAGUAAAAAUAAUAAAGAUAAAAAUAAGCAAAAAGGAAAUUAAAUUAAAUAAACUAAUAUGAUGGAAUUCAAGCUUUAAGCUCGAUUUUGUUCCAAUUUCAAACCAAUGCACGAUAACAAGUCUUCUCCUUCAACCGAUAAGCCAGUUAUAGUGAUCGAGGAUGCCUCAGACCACUAACCCUUCCAUAUGUAAAUUAAUUACGAGAACGCCCAACAAUUAAUCCUUAUCGAACCAACAACCACAAAACACGCAUCCACGAUUUAGCUCUCUGGUAGCCUUGUGAGCUAAAAGGGUCCAUCUCGAACCAACAACGUCAAUUACGUGAGUCGUUUAGAUCCGAUUGCUAACUUCUUAGUUGGACACGCCAAUGUGUUCUUCGGAAGAUCAAAUACGACAAAUGCUCAAUCCGGUACUUCCAAUUGUACGUCUAUCAACACCGAAUCAACGAGCUAUUUUUAACAUGGUGUGAACACAACUUUGUGAGAUGCCAGUAUCUAUCUCCUAAAUCAGAGAAACAACAAAUACCGAAAUAAAAGUUUUUAAGUAUAAAUUUGGAUCUCACAGCUGUCUACUGGAUUAUUUAUUUAGCUACUAAUGAAAAUAUAUGAAAUAAAAGUAUAAAUAAAAUUUUAAAAAUAUGGAAAUAGGAUUGCGCAUGUAAGAGAGAAGUGAUAAACAAGUAUGAAUAAAAGAGGGGCAAAUUUUCCAAUAAUAAAGAAAAAAAAAUCAUCACCCUUUAAAAAAGAGUGGGCCAAUCUCACUUUUACCCUUUAAAAAAUAUAUACAAUAAUGUUGCAAUUGAUAAUUCUGCCCACCUUGUUCUUCUUUAUUCAUAACAUCAUGUGGUGCUAUUCAAGAAAAAUACAUUGAAAGCUGCAGAAAAUUUAUAAAGAAAGGCCGUCCGUUAAUAAAGUUUUUAAUAUAAAAUUAGUAACUUUUUAUUUAAUUAUUACUUAGUGGGUGGAUGGUGACAUCUUUAAAAUACAAUAUUGACUCUACGGGUAAUGUACGUAUGUAUUAACGCUUGUAUUUUCAUCUUGUUCAAAUCAUUUCACUCUUCCUCCUGCAAUAAUCAAACACUUUUUGCGUGCCAUCAAUGGCUGAAGCAUUGCUUUCGAUAUUGCUGGAGAGCUCAUUACUAAGUUGAUCUCUCGAGCUCCCUCUCAGAUUGGAGUAUGGUGGAAUUUCAAAGAUGACCUCGAUGACUUCAAACAUUGUUGCUGUCAUAUCUGAAUGGGCUGAUCUAUGAAAAUUAAAUUAACUCUAAUACUACUUAAUUGUUAGGAUCAAUCCAAUUAAGCAAUAAGUAAAUAAAAUAGCGGAAUAAAUUGAGAAAUUGAACACAUAAAUUUAACGUGGAAAAAUCCCUUUAAAGAGGAUAAAAACCACGAGCAAAUAUAAUUUUACUAUAAUGGCAAAAGAACGAAGAGCAUAAAAGAUGGAGAUAAAAACUAAACCCCGAAAACCCGAAAACAAAGAACCCUAAAAACAUAAACACAAAAUUCUCUAAAUGUGUUAUGAGUCUUAUUAUUAAUUAUUGGUAUCGUUGAUGUAGCUGAGCGUGUUAAUAUUUGUUGUUAGUGGUAGUAACAUUUUAAUUAUUUUAUUCUACAUUUAUUUGUUUAUUGAAGUGGGUUGAUGAUUUUUAAUUGUUUAUUUUUGGAAAUCUUGUUUCAUUCUUUUGUUCCAUGUCAUGUUGGAAAAAGAGUUCGAAUAAACAUGUUUGGAGUAUUAGGGUUGUAUAAAUCUAAAUUUUAAGAGAUUGUUGGUAAGUCAAGUAAAAAAAUAUUUUUUAGAAAAUUUAGUAUUUAUUAAUAUAAUAUAUAUGUUUAGCAUUUAUUAGCAUAAUAUAUUUGAGAUUGAUUAGAAUUAGAUUUUUUUUAACCUAUAAAUAGAUGUAGUUGAAACUCCUAUCGUAUCAUUUGAAUUCAAACAAUUAAUGCAAUAACCAUAUAAAAUGGCGUUGGUUUGGAUACCCCUUUGAUGUUUUGUCUUCGUUUUGGUGUUUGUUUUGGGGGUUGUGUCUCUUUGGGUUAAUUUUCAAUAUAUGUGUGCUGAUGAUGCAAUGAAUAAAGAAAUCAAAAGUUAUGCAGAAAUUUCAAUUCUGGAUGGUGCUGCAAUUAUAUUUUUAAGAGUAGUAGCAUUUUAUUUGUUAUUAACAUAUAUUUGUUUAUUGGAUACGUGUGUUGAUGAUGCAGUGAAUAAAGAAAUCAAAAGUUGUGCAGAAAUUUCAAUUUUGGAUGGCGCUGUAAUUAUAUUAUUAAGAGUAGUAGGAUUUUAUGUUUCUUUUAGAUGUACAUAUAUUUAUUAGGAAAGGGUUCAAGUUUUUUAUUUGUUUAUUAUUAGGGUUAAAUAUCAAAUUUAUACCCUAGUUUUGGUUCAAUUGUAUAAUUUGAUACAUGAAUUUUGAUUUGGUGCAAUUAUCUACAUGAAACUUGAAUUAUGGUUCAUAUAUAUAUAAAACUUUGAUUUUGAUAUAAUUGUACGCAUUAAAGAAAUGAAUACCUAUAUUUAUUUUCACAUUGGAUUAAUAUAAUUGUAGCGACCUAAAAUUUUUGCGAGUUAGUCGAGGUCGUUACGAAAGGAAAUCUUGGGUUGACGAUUAUUGAAAAUUCGGAAAAGGUCUCAAUUUUACUUAAAAAGAGAUGAGUCGCCACCGGUCCUUUUUCUAAGUGAGAUCAGACACCUACUAAAUUCUCUUUUUAAAAGAAAAUUUAUUUUUAAAAUUCUCUUUAAAAAAAGUCGAUUUUAGGUCUGCGUCAAAAUCCAAAGAAAAUUAGAGUUCGGGAGUCUGUUAUGCACAAAGAAUGUAUUAACACCCUCGUGGCGCCCAAAAUCGGUAUCCCAUUAAAUGCGUGUUGUCUUAAAUUUUAAAAAUACGAAUUCAAUUUAAUAUUUAAUCAUGAUUCGAUUGAAAAAUGAGAAUUUUGAUAAAUUACAUAUUAUUGUAUUGUAUAUAUUUUAGAAUGAAAUACUGAUAAUUUACGAAUAAAAAUAAAGAUUUUAUUUUUAAUGAGAGAAUUUUUUUAAUUUUUUAAUUUUUAGAAGGGCGUUCCGUAUUUAAAAAAAGUCAAUGAUAUCCACCCAACAUAGCAGUGAAAUAAAUGACUUAAUGCUAAAUCGGUUCGUUGCCUUAGGUAUUGAAAUUAUUUAAAUUAAAAAUUGUAAAUGAAAUAUUUCUAAAAGGCUGUUUAAAAAUGCUAAUUUAAUUAAAAUGAAACAAUAUUUAAAUACAUGGACUAAAUAAAUAAAGACAUGCACCUUUGUUGUGAGAUAUCUAGUGAGUUCAAAAAUUCUCUUCUGAAAAUGGUGGCUAUCAUGUAAUUAGUAGUAUAUUAUUUCAAUUUUGGUGAGAAUUGUAUUCUCACUUAAACGCUUAAUGCCAUUUGCUAAAUUUUUUGUGUGGGUGAUCUUUUGAUCUGUUCAUAAACCGAACUUUUCAUGGUGGCUAAGUUUCUUAGGGGAUAAAUUAUUAGUAGCAUUAUUUGUUUCUGCAGUGAAAUUGUGAUGCCUGUAUUUUAAAAUGUGAGGUAUUAUCGUAUUUGAUGAUAUAGUGGAGUUUUGGUAGAUUAAACGGAUCGUUUGCUGAGCUAAGUUGAAAUUGAAUGAAUGCUGGCCUCAUCCAAUGUCCAAAACUUGAUGACUUCAACAUUUUGAUGCCUUAAUUUGAGAAGACUGAGUUAGAGUACUAUAAAACUUUCUCAGAAUGCUGAUGAGGCAAAGAUCUAGUGAUCUAAUAUAAUUGCAAUUCAUAGUAUGGUAGUUUCAAUGCUUUCGUAAGAGAGGAAGAUUAUGUCAUGCUACUCCAUUCUCGGUUUAAAUCAGUGCUCUAUAUGAAGAAAGGUUGAUGGGUGUUAGUUCUUUUGAUGUCUUGUCUUUGAUGGAUGUUUGAAAAAUGAUUCAGUUGAUAUUCAUAAUGUCUAUCACUACAGUUUCCCCCUUAUGUAUAAUAUGUCUGCUAGUUUGUCGGUCUUCGUAUAUUACAUUCCUUUUUCUUAUUGUUUUCAACACGAUAACAAGUGAGUUAGUAGCUAUUUUACUUGAUUUUGUCAUGGCAUUUCAAAGAUGACCUCAAGGACCUCAAAAGCACCAUCUCCACAAUCAAAGCUGUGCUUCUUGAUGCCGAAGAACAAUCCAUGACCAGCAGUCUCAUCAAAGAUUGGCUUGAAAAGUUGAAAGAUGCAUUUUAUGAUGCCGAUAAUUUUUCUACUGAUGCUUUGCGGAAAGAUCUACUGAGCAGGAACAAGCUAAUGAAAGAAGUAUGCCUUUUCUUUUCAAGCUCAAACCAAUUUGUUUAUGGUGCCAAAAUGGGUCAUCAAAUUAAGGCCAGGAUGUUCAACUUGGUAGAGUGUGACCGUCCCAUUAAAACCUCUUUCAUAACUAAGAAGAGACAGCGAACACACUCUUUUGUGAGUAAAGAUGAAAUAAUAGGGAGGGAAGAUGAUAAAGCAGCUUUUCUAGAACACAUAUUAGAGUUCCAAAGUGAAGAGAAUGUUUAUGUGGUUCCGAUUGUGGAGUUUGGAGGGUUAGGGAUGACUACAUUAGCACAGUUUGUCAAUGAAGUGGUCAAUGAUCAUUUUGAGUUGAGGAUAUGUAAAGAUUCCAAACUGGUCAUCUCGGAAGCGAUCUUAAAUUGGGCAAAUCAGAGAGAUAAAGAAAUUGCAACCCAAUCCGGAAGAUACCGACACUUUGGAAUUUUUGCCAGCGAUAGAGAGCGUAGGUUACAAUGCCAUGGACAGAUCACAGCUCCACUUUCUGUAUAGUUUCAAAAAUUACUCGGGGCAGAAGGCAAUGGGAGCCACAGCUCUCCUUACCCCUCCCCCCUUCCAAAUUUGGAAAAUUCUCAUUAAGCCUUCAAUUUUUUUGAAAAUUUUAAUUGAACUCCUCAAUUUUUUUAAAAAUUUUUCCUAAGCCUUUAAUAGUUUUAUAAGUUUUAAUUAGACCCUUUUUUUUGAAAUUCUCAUUAGGUUCUUUAAAAUUUUUGAAAAAUUUAAUUCCACAUUUCGCUACCUUUCUUCUCUGAUAGUUUUAGUUUAUUUGAAUGCUUGGAAUUAGGCUUUCACAUUGUUACAUUGUUGAAAAUUACUUGUAUUUUGAUAAGGAAAACAAUGGGAAAAAUAACAAUUAGAUACUUGGAAUAUUGGCUUGUGCCAUGAUACGCCUUUAUAAGGUGUUAUUCAACUUGUAAUUUGAUGUGUGCCAACAUAAGCAUCAACACACAAGUCAUGUAUAUACAGCCAGGACAUCGACAUCUUUUGGAAGAGUCCUAAUCCAAGCAUCAUAAUUGAACAUAGCCUUGGAAUACCGUCUAAAAACAAUUAUUGUCUCAUAAUCAAUUGUGCAUCCCUGCAUUUGAAUACUGUUUGGAACCCUAAAAAACAAUAAAUGUGUUUUUUCCUGAGUUGGUACAUAUUAUGCAACAAGGAAAAUAAAGAACACAAUCAAUAUAUUUACGCAGUUCGAAACUCGUCCUACGUUUGUGGGGCUUUGCCCCAAGAUGAAUACACUAUGAACUUCAUAGUACAAAGAAAUGAUUUAAGCUCAACCCCUCAAACAUUUGAUGCAAUCUCACUUUUGUACAGUUUAAGUAAAUUCUCUCCCAACUCAUUUUAGCUAUGCAAGUGAAAAUUCACAUUCAACACUCAAAUGGUUUUCCUACUAUGAAUCAAGCUCUUAAUAAGCUCCAUGUAAAGUGGAAUAAUAAAUUUUCAAAUGCAAUAUGUCUGGCAAUUGUCAUGCUUGAACAACGACUCUUCCAAAACCAUCAAUGAACCUGAAAAUUACAAAUGCCAACAUAGAAUAUGUUACAAAUCCCAUUAGUAUCAGCCUUAUAUUUGCACAUAUGUGUGUUUAGUAUAACGCUGUUGAUAUAUAAAUAAUGAAACAUUUUAUCAACUUCAACCUCACCACCAAAUAUUCCGAAGCAUCUUCCUUUUUUUCCUGUUUGGACCUUCAGUAACAAAUUUGGCUGGAAUUCUAAACAGCUAAAAGAGUUCCCUGCAUCAAUGAAUAUUAUGAAUUUGAAUACCUCCAAAAGCCUGUCAAUAUCACAGGUACCAUCUAAGAUAGUAAUCAGUUGGCAUAUAUUAAGAGAAAACAUAAAUAUAUAUAACGAUAUCAUCGGUAAGUGCUUAAAUGAAGAAAGCAGAGCAUAUAGUACAACCAUUUUGAAUGCUUCAUAGGCCUCUCUCUCCACAUCAAUUGUUUUUUAGAAUUAAAUUAUUAGAAGCAAUUGUCAAGUUAUAAUUAUGAUUUAAAAGUAAAAAGGAAAUAGAUAAAUUAGCACCUCUUUUUAUGCAUAUAAAAUGAUUGAAGUUGACUAAUGCCUUUCUGCAAUGCCUUACUGCACAAAUCAGCAAAAAUAUUAUGAAAGAUGAUAAGUAAAAAGUAGGAUUAAAACAAAGGCAUUUUAACAAGGAAAUUAAUAGUAUCCAACUUCAAUGAAAAAUGGCAUCAGACCCCUGACUUGGAGAUUCAAUAUACCACUCCUAUUUUUCUUCAAAAAAAGAUGAGGUCAUCAAAAUAAAUAAAUAACAAAGACAGACCAACCUGAUCCAACCGAAUGUUGGGGAUGUGAGCAAUCUUUUGCCAAUCAGCGCCAAUGUCCUUCCGACAUCUUUCCUCCAACAGAGGAAUUUCUUGUAUUUGUAAAUACUCCAAACAGGUUAGGCAACACAUCUCGUCCGGAAGAGAUGUUAAAUUGGGCAAAUUAACGAGAUAAAGCUGUUCCAGAUUUGUUAGAUGUUGAAGCCGCUCCGGAAGAUGCCGACACUUUGGAAUAUUUUCCAGCCAUAGAAGGCGUAGGCUUGUAUGAUCUUGGAAUAUUUGGAUGCCAGCUCCAGAUAACUCCAGCUCCUUGCAGUCCUUUACUUCAAACAGUUCAAGGAAAGUGAGGUGUUGGAACACAGGAAGCAGUGACCUCAAUCCAUUGCAGUUAUGAAUUCUUAAUGUUUUCAAUUGAACAAGAUGUUGAAGCCAAAUGGGGAGAGACACCAGCUUUGGAAAAUUAUCAAUCUCCAAACAAGAGAGAUUCUUCAGGGGUUCCCAUUGCAUGCCAUCUAAAUCAACCUCCUUGCAAUCUCCUAUUGUUAAUCGUUUGAGGUUGGUGAGAUGUUGCAGGCACUCAUCUAGCGUGUGAGUGUCCAACCCCUCAAUGUUGUAUACAUCGAAAGAUUUCAAUUUGGAGAGUGGAAGAGAAGAGGUUGAAGUUGAUGGGGCCUUAGCAUUGAUGUUCAUCUUGAUAGUCUGCUUUAACGGCCUUGAACUGGUAUUCGACAACAUUAGAUAUUCAUCGAGUGAUGGAUACAGUGGCAUUAAAUUCAAAGGGCAAUUUCUAAU
RNAcentral lists this long non-coding RNA (24421 nucleotides) under Gossypium barbadense (sea-island cotton). RNAcentral describes it as "long non-coding RNA (GBAR_LNC023225)". The record is from RNAcentral. Lineage: Eukaryota; Viridiplantae; Streptophyta; Magnoliopsida; Malvales; Malvaceae.